This 754-nucleotide ribosomal RNA is filed under the name uncultured bacterium. RNAcentral's name for it is "bacterial SSU rRNA". It matches the Rfam family "Bacterial small subunit ribosomal RNA", at positions 62 to 792 of the family's 1533-position model. The record is from RNAcentral.
UCGAACGCGAAAGUUUCCUUUCGGGAGGCGAGUAGAGUGGCGCACGGGUGAGUAACACGUAGGUAAUCUACCUUUGGAUGGGGAAUAACAACCGGAAACGGUUGCUAAUACCGCAUAAUGCAGCGGCACCUAAUGGUGACAGUUGUUAAAGCGGGGGAUCGAAAGACCUCGCGUCUGAAGAGGAGCCUGCGGCGGAUUAGCUAGUUGGUAAGGUAAUGGCUUACCAAGGCGAUGAUCCGUAACCGGCCUGAGAGGGCGGUCGGUCACACUGACACUGACAUACGGGUCAGACUCCUACGGGAGGCAGCAGUCGGGAAUUUUGGGCAAUGGGCGAAAGCCUGACCCAGCAACGCCGCGUGAAGGAUGAAAUCCCUCGGGAUGUAAACUUCGCAAGAACAGGAAGAAUAAGUAGGGGACAAUACCCCCUAUGAUGACGGUACUGUUUGUAAGCUCCGGCUAACUCCGUGCCAGCAGCCGCGGUAAUACGGGGGGAGCAAGCGUUGUUCGGAUUUACUGGGCGUAAAGGGCGUGUAGGCGGCCACCGCAAGUCGGUUGUGAAAUCUCCGGGCUUAACCCGGAAAGGUCAACCGAUACUGCGGGGCUAAAGUGCAGAAGGGGCAACUGGAAUUCUCNGUGUAGCGGUGAAAUGCGUAGAUAUCGAGAGGAACACCUGCGGCGAAGGCGGGUUGCUGGGCUGACACUGACGCUGAAACGCGAAAGCUAGGGGGAGCGAACGGGAUUAGAUACCCCGGUA